AGUGAACGCUGGCGGUAGGCCUAACACAUGCAAGUCGAACGGCAGCACAGUAAGAGCUUGCUCUUACGGGUGGCGAGUGGCGGACGGGUGAGGAAUACAUCGGAAUCUACUUUUUCGUGGGGGAUAACGUAGGGAAACUUACGCUAAUACCGCAUACGACCUACGGGUGAAAGCAGGGGAUCUUCGGACCUUGCGCGAUUGAAUGAGCCGAUGUCGGAUUAGCUAGUUGGCGGGGUAAAGGCCCACCAAGGCGACGACCCGUAGCUGGUCUGAGAGGAUGAUCAGACACACUGGAACUGAGACACGGUCCAGACUCCUACGGGAGGCAGCAGUGGGGAAUAUUGGACAAUGGGCGCAAGCCUGAUCCAGCCAUACCGCGUGGGUGAAGAAGGCCUUCGGGUUGUAAAGCACUUUUGUUGGGAAAGAAAAGCAGCAGGUUAAUACCCCGCUGUUCUGACGGUACCCAAAGAAUAAGCACCGGCUAACUUCGUG
This 492-nucleotide ribosomal RNA is filed under the name uncultured bacterium. RNAcentral describes it as "partial 16S ribosomal RNA". It matches the Rfam family "Bacterial small subunit ribosomal RNA", at positions 29 to 507 of the family's 1533-position model. The record is from RNAcentral.